GUUGUUACGACAAGUGCGA
This 19-nucleotide small nuclear RNA is filed under the name Arabidopsis thaliana (thale cress). RNAcentral's name for it is "snRNA_03846". The record is from RNAcentral. Lineage: Eukaryota; Viridiplantae; Streptophyta; Magnoliopsida; Brassicales; Brassicaceae.